Molecule: ribosomal RNA, 581 nt
Filed under: uncultured bacterium
Lineage: Bacteria
Description: bacterial SSU rRNA
Rfam family: Bacterial small subunit ribosomal RNA
Source: RNAcentral
ACGGGUGAGUAAUGUCUGGGAAACUGCCUGAUGGAGGGGGAUAACUACUGGAAACGGUAGCUAAUACCGCAUAACGUCGCAAGACCAAAGAGGGGGACCUUCGGGCCUCUUGCCAUCAGAUGUGCCCAGAUGGGAUUAGCUAGUAGGUGGGGUAAUGGCUCACCUAGGCGACGAUCCCUAGCUGGUCUGAGAGGAUGACCAGCCACACUGGAACUGAGACACGGUCCAGACUCCUACGGGAGGCAGCAGUGGGGAAUAUUGCACAAUGGGCGCAAGCCUGAUGCAGCCAUGCCGCGUGUAUGAAGAAGGCCUUCGGGUUGUAAAGUACUUUCAGCGGGGAGGAAGGUGUUGUGGUUAAUAACCGCAGCAAUUGACGUUACCCGCAGAAGAAGCACCGGCUAACUCCGUGCCAGCAGCCGCGGUAAUACGGAGGGUGCAAGCGUUAAUCGGAAUUACUGGGCGUAAAGCGCACGCAGGCGGUCUGUCAAGUCGGAUGUGAAAUCCCCGGGCUCAACCUGGGAACUGCAUUCGAAACUGGCAGGCUAGAGUCUUGUAGAGGGGGGUAGAAUUCCAGGUGUAGC